RNAcentral lists this ribosomal RNA (427 nucleotides) under uncultured fungus. RNAcentral's name for it is "bacterial SSU rRNA". It matches the Rfam family "Bacterial small subunit ribosomal RNA", at positions 107 to 511 of the family's 1533-position model. Lineage: Eukaryota; Fungi. The record is from RNAcentral.
UGCGUAACACGUGGAUAACCUUCCUUCAGGUGGGGAAUAACCCAGUGAAAACUGGGCUAAUACCUGCAUAACAUUGACGAUGUGCACAUGCUAGUUAGUCUUCAAAGGCGCCAAGUCAGCCAAGACAGCAGGGCAUCCAGCGGCCGCAUUAGCUUGUAAGAGCAGGGGUAAUGGCUCACCAAGGGCAUUGAUCGGUAGCCGGACUGAGGAGGUUGGCCGGCCACACAUGGAACUGAGACACGGUCCAGACUACCAUACGGGAGGCAGACAGUGGGGAAUCUUGACACAAUGGACGAAAGUCUGAUGCAGACAACGCCGACGUGGGGGAUGAAGCUUCUCGAGAGUGUAAAACCCUUUCGACCCGGACGAAUGCCCGCAAGGGAUUUGACGGUACGGGUAUAAGAAGCCCCGGCUAACUACGUGCCAG